CAAUAGCGUAUAUUAAAGUUGUUGCAGUUAAAAAGCUCGUAGUUGGAUUUGUGGUGUACUUCGGCGGCCCGUCACUAUGUGAUGGAGCUUGCUGAAGUCGCCAUCCUUGGGUGGAUCCUGUGUGGCAUUAAGUUGUCGUGCAGGGGAUGCCCAUCGUUUACUGUGAAAAAAUUAGAGUGUUCAAAGCAGGCUUAUGCCGUUGAAUAUAUUAGCAUGGAAUAAUAAGAUAGGACCUUGGUACUAUUUUGUUGGUUUGCGCACCAAGGUAAUGAUUAAUAGGGACAGUUGGGGGUAUUCGUAUUCCAUUGUCAGAGGUGAAAUUCUUGGAUUUCUGGAAGACGAACUACUGCGAAAGCAUUUACCAAGGAUGUUUUCAUUA
Molecule: ribosomal RNA, 379 nt
Filed under: uncultured eukaryote
Lineage: Eukaryota
Description: partial 18S ribosomal RNA
Rfam family: Eukaryotic small subunit ribosomal RNA
Source: RNAcentral